CAGCAGCCACGGUAACACGGAGGGUGCAAGCGUUAAUCGGAAUUACUGGGCGUAAAGCGUGCGUAGGCGGUUCGUUAAGUCUGUUGUGAAAUCCCCGGGCUCAACCUGGGAAUGGCAAUGGAUACUGGCAAGCUAGAGUGUGUCAGAGGAUGGUGGAAUUCCCGGUGUAGCGGUGAAAUGCGUAGAGAUCGGGAGGAACAUCAGUGGCGAAGGCGGCCAUCUGGGACAACACUGACGCUGAGGCACGAAAGCGUGGGGAGCAAACAGGAUUAGAUACCCCCGUAGUCCCUGUCUCUUAUAU
RNAcentral lists this ribosomal RNA (301 nucleotides) under uncultured bacterium. RNAcentral's name for it is "partial 16S ribosomal RNA". It matches the Rfam family "Bacterial small subunit ribosomal RNA", at positions 509 to 809 of the family's 1533-position model. The record is from RNAcentral.